CGGACGGGUGAGUAAUGUCUGGGAAACUGCCUGAUGGAGGGGGAUAACUACUGGAAACGGUAGCUAAUACCGCAUAACGUCGCAAGACCAAAGAGGGGGACCUUCGGGCCUCUUGCCAUCAGAUGUGCCCAGAUGGGAUUAGCUAGUAGGUGGGGUAACGGCUCACCUAGGNGACGAUCCCUAGCUGGUCUGAGAGGAUGACCAGCCACACUGGAACUGAGACACGGUCCAGACUCCUACGGGAGGCAGCAUG
RNAcentral lists this ribosomal RNA (253 nucleotides) under uncultured bacterium. Its description in RNAcentral is "partial 16S ribosomal RNA". It matches the Rfam family "Bacterial small subunit ribosomal RNA", at positions 99 to 353 of the family's 1533-position model. The record is from RNAcentral.